AAAAGCAUACAAAUUAUAGAAGAAGAAGAUUUUUGACUACAGUUGACUUUUGGGUCAAUUAGUUGACCAAAGUCAACUAACCACUUUUCAGGACCUAAAUCCUAGUACUCAUUACAUGUCACUCUUGCAUAAGGAUCCAUGGUCAUUUGCUCCAUAAAUAAGAAACUAUUUUUUUCAUCCAAUUAGUAGGACCAGUGCCUUGGACUUUGCCUUGAAUUUGAACACUUUGUCAGCCUAGAAUUGCCUUGAAACAAUGUCCAAUCCAUAAGUCUAUAACCUGCAAUGAAUCAAAAGGAGGCAGACAAUUUAAAACAUCCACCAAGUACAAUGGCAAGCACUAAAUACAAUCAAAACUAGCAGCUCAUGCUCCUAAAUGGCAUCGUUUUGCAAGUGACAUCAUCUUGUCCUAAACAACUAUUUCUUGCAGGGAAAUCAUCCUGUAGUAAGUGUACACAUAGCCAACCAAAAAUCAAUAUGAAACCCAACCAAACAUACAUCAAGCAGACAUACAUGAUCUUCAUUCACAUGUGAUCACAGCUUGUGCAACUUAUUCUAACAAGCAUGCAUUCAUAGCUCAAACUAACCAUUCACUUGGCACCUUAAGCCUACAAACUAACAAAUCAUUAAAACAUAACAGAGUCAGACACUAUACAAAAAACUGACUGUAUCAUAUCCUUCAACAAAUCAUGCCUCAUAUUAGGGCUGCGCACAUUUGCACUAACAUUAACAACAAAAAAUUCAAUGCAUCACACCAGCUCAUGAUGUAAUACUUUCAAGCCAAUAUAUCGAUGGCAGAACAAAAUCCUUGACAUAAAAGCGCAUAACCACUACUGGAUUUUAACAUCACAACAAAGGCUAAUAGUUGUGGCCGUGCCACCAACAAAAUAAUUGAUAAAUUCUCACGAACAAUUUUUAAACUAAAUGAACCAACUAUACCAAACCAGUUCACUAACUCAUAAAACCAGUUUCAGUAAAUGAUUUUUUAACAGGUUAUUAACAGUAGCUCAUUAACAUAAGGCAAUGAAUAAUUUAAAUCACAAAUCCAACGGACAAAUAACUAACUCCUAAGAUAAACUCAAUCUGCAGAAAAUGACAGCUUAUUAACUCAUGCGAAAUUAUGCUAGACCAGGGAAAUUAACUCCAAAUGCACUUUUCAAAUUAACUUCAAAUUCACCUCAAAUCCCAACUAAUUUCUAAAUUUUCUAACUGACUGAAUAUCAAUUGGAUUUCGUUUUAAUUGGACAAAAUUUGAUAACAGAAAGGGAAAACUAUAAAGGAGGGACUCACUGUGAUUGAAGACAGGUUUUUUCCCGGCAAGCUGAACGAUAACCCUGCAACUGCAAUCUCUACACAAAUCUCCAAUCCUCUACAAAGCCGAUCUUCCAUUUGCAAUUUCCUCACUUCAUCUUCACACUGCUUCAUCGGCUUCAAUCUGCAGAUUCAUCACUCUGCAAGUCCAGCUUACAAUCCCUCCAGCAACGAAAACACAAUCAUUCUCAGAGCAUCAAAACAGAAGCAACAACGCCACGCAUCAAGACACAAAGCAACAAACUCAUUCACAGCAUAAGAAGUGCACGAAGAGUAGAUACCUAAACCGUGAGUCUUUGAUUUCUUCAAAUCUGCAUUUUUGUUUCGGUUUUCGUGUUGUUAGGUUGCGAAUUCUUGUUUUGAUGUCGAUCUCACGAAACUUCGAUUCGAUGAGCUGUUUCGAAAUUAAGAACCUUGGAUAUGCGGUUGUCGAUGGAUGCGGUUAAGAUUGAAAAUGCGAUGUUGAACGGACGCCGACGCCAACGCCACAUCAAAAUUGGAUAAACAUAUUGAUGAUCCAUUGAAUUCUAGAGAACACGAUGCUGAUGAAGGAUGGAUGCCGAGGAGCAUAAGCGUUUUUCUUGUGUAUCCUUCAGCCUUUUGAAAUGCACGUUCGAGUUUGUGGUUCAGUUGAAGAAUGUUUAUCCUGCAUUGUGAUGUGUUCAUCCAGAUCUGUGGAUUUUGGCCCGCGUGUGGUGGUUUGGUUUUGGGCUUCAUGACCAAAGUGGGCCUUCCGUCUCACACAUCUCACCAAGAACACACCCCAUGGCCCAUAAUCAUAAUUCAUGUUCAUUAAUCUUCAAUUAACCUUUUAGAGUAAUUUUAAUUAAUGUAUUUUAUUGUAGUUUAAUUGAUGUAAUUGUAAUCUUGAUAGAAGUUUAGGAUUAAUUCUUUUUUGUUAAUUAGAACUAACAUAGUUCAUCAUUAGUUAGUUAGAUUAAUCUUUUGAUUGAUAGGUAGCUAGUGUUGAUUAUCUGAUUAGGAAAUUUAUGUUAAUCGUGUGAUUUUGAUCCUGAUUUUUAGAAUUGAUGUCCAUUAUUAAUCUUGCCAUUAGAUUUUGGUUAACUCAUUUGUUGAUUUAAUUCGUGAUUAGAUAACAUGGUUAAGUGUAGAUUUUCCAUAAUACAUUUUAGGUAAUUUUGACCAUUAGGAUUGUUAAUUCAUUUUGUGGAUAAUAAUCGUUUUAUCCUUAGGGGUUAUUUUGUUGUUUUAGCCAUAGAAGUACAUGCUCCCUAGAAUUAAUUUUGACUCAGAAUUUCAAAUAGUUUUAAAUCAAGUAUUUGACUAAACAAAUGCAUGUUCCCCUUAGGAAUAGCUGCUGGUAACAAUCUCAACCAAUAGAUUAGGUUAACUAGUUAUUUUCAAGCUAAUUCAAACCCUUGAUUCAAGUUGAUCAAAAGCAAUGUUGAUCAACUAAAUCCUUUGACCUUGUAUAAUCCCACAGUCUAUUCAAGUGAUCAAAAGAUCCUUGAUCACUUGAUAAGACUCUUUCUAUAAGUUAUGAGCUCGAAGCCUCAAGUCACACUCUCAAUCAGGCAUCCCAGUCAUAUCAAGCAGUGGAUCAUACAAGGUAACAUCAAAGGUGGUUCUUCAAGAGCUUGUUAUCAAUGUUAGAAUUGUAUGGCAUGAGCCUAAGCAAUAGAGAAUGAAAUGAGAGUGGAGAAUUUUCAUAACUUAUUCUGAAAUCUUUGGGUACGGGACGCGUGACUAGUUGCCAUCAGAUUCACCUCUAUUCAAGACUGUUAGCACAAUUCAAAUCAUAUGAUUGGCAAGUCUCUCCUUCAUAAAGCAAGCAGCGCAACAAGUAGAAGACUCUACCAAGAAACUAUCAAAUCAAUAAUUCAAGUUGCAUACCAUGAGCCUUAAGCAACAAAGAAUGACGAGAGUGGAGAAUUCUUAUCCUUGUCUAAGGUCUCCUUAGGUACGAGACGCUUGACCCAGUUGCUUAAGGUAUCCGUCUUUGUUCAUAGACUUAAUGCACACAAAUUGAAUGAUUGAAGGCAUUCGUCAUCACGGGGAGCAACAAAGAUUCUUCUCUAGCAACUGAAAGUUAGGAUAAGAGUUAUACGCCACGAGCCUUAAGUAGUAAAAAAUGAAUGAGAAUGGAGAUUGCCAUUACUCAUUUGAAUACUUUGGGUACGGGACGCAUGACCAGUUGCUUCAUCGUAUCACCUUUACUCCAUAGACUUUAGUGUGGUUCAUAUCCAAUGACUGCCAAGUCUUCUUCGUAUUUCUAUUAUCUAACAAUUCAUUUCUUCUGCCUCAAUGCAUCUUGUUGUCAGCCCUAGUGGGUUGAACUACGAAAGCUCUAAUUUUCUCAUUGCACAAUGAGAAUACGUAGGCAGGAGAAUUCAGAUUCUCCGUGAGCUACCUUAUUUAUUAAUCAUAAUCCUUCACUUUCAUUCGUUCAAUCAAUACCAUCUUUUUGAGAUCACAUAUAUUCUCCUUGAACUCCAUGUACACCCUUUUAGGAUGAUAUAACGGCAUUCCACCUUGUGAACCAAGAGUGUUUGGAUCGUACUCAAGCAUUAAUUCAUCUUUUUCGGCUAAGACGCAUGUUUACUCUUCGGUUCAAAUUCGUUCCCUUCAUGGAUCCAAGAUAUCGUUAUUCUUUGAUCUCGAACUGUUUGUUCCCCAUCAGUGAAUAACUGCUCCUUGUACUCAAGAAUCCUUUCUUUUAGGCCAGAUAUUACCUUUUAGGACGAUAUAACGGCAGUCCACCUUGUGAACCAAAGAGUUAUUUUGGAUCGUACCCAUACAUUUAAUUCCUUCUUUUUGGCUAAGACGCAUGUUUACUCUUUGCUUCAAAGUUCACUUUCCCUUUGUGGGUUGCCAGUGUUACCAUUCUGUUGGUACAAGUUAUACUUUUUGAUCACUUCCUCAAUCUUCGCUCUAUUUUCGUGGUUCCACGAACUACAAAUGCUCGGACUUCCUCAUUGCACAAUGAGAAUACCGUAGGCACGAGGGAUGUGAAUCCUUGGCCAGAAUAAUACUAAAUUUUAUUUUCCGCCUUGGGCACCACUCAUAUCUUUCAUGAUCCAUGACUACAUGCACAUUGAACCGCUCACCAGUGACAUGUUGUUUCUUUGAUAUCGAAAUACAAUUUCUUUGGAAUUCCAUAUAUACCCUUUAGGACGAUAUAACAGCAGUCCGCAUUUGUACCUAUAGUUGUAGCUCAUACCCAAGACAUUAAUUUCUUUUUUAGCCAAUAAGCAGUUUCCCUCUAUGUUACAAAUCUCAUUCUCAUAGGGAUUCUGAUAUAUCUUUACCUUUGGUUCCAAAUUACGACCUUUUAGUCACUUGUAUACCAAAUCCUUCAAUUUUGUGACUUUGGUUACUUUUCAUUUCGUUCAUCUCCAUGAUGCAUUCAUACUCUACUCUUCAUUCACUCCAUGUGAUAUACAUGUUAUCUUUGAGCCAAAUAUAUGACCUCUUUGAGCUCCAUUUGUGUCACCGUUGGAACCAGAGCUGUUGGCUCGUACCCAAAUAGUUAUUCUCCUUAUUUUGGUACCAUAGUGGAAACGCUCUGGCUAGUCCAUAUAUUUGGUCAACGCCACAUACUUCUUGGGUUCAGAUUUCACCCCUUUUGGAGUUCGAAUCAUAUUAUCCUUUGGUUCAAACCUGUUGAUCUAAGUGUUGGCAGCAAUUUUGGUAAAACAAAGAGUGUUCACAAGAUGUCAUGUGUGGAUGUCUUAACAUAAGAGUAUCUAUUACCUGCUGGAGUUAAAGAACAUGUGCAAGCAGGAUUGUUUCAGAAUGCCACCUUACAAUGCUAAGGCGUUGAUAUGGAAUGUACCUGCUGAGCUUAAUUGGAAGACAUGUUCAUGCGAUUGUUUCAGAUGACAUACACAAUGUCAUGGUACUGAUAUGGUGUACCUGCUAUAAAAAGGAAAUGGAUUAGCAGGAUUUUCCAGAUGUCAGACCCGAUGUCAUGAGACAUCCUGUACACAGAACAUUCAGUAUGAAUGUCUGGUUUUGUGAUUGCACAAUUAAUGGCAAUCAUUGGUUGAUGAAGAUAUGGCUAGCUGGCGCAUUCUUUCAGGGAUUCAACCAGAUUUGUUUAUUUUCCAAAGAGAUCUUACAGUGAUAUGAAAAUAUUUGGUUGGAAAAUAUAUUUAGGUUUUCAAGCUGUCCAAUGUUCUAUAAAAGGACCAGAAAACUGUUUGAACACACAACCAAGACUGGAGCAAAAUUUAAGAGAAAGCUAGGGUUUGUGUCUGUAGGUCAUUCAAGUCAUCAUUUGAUGAUUGAAUUGGACUGAUUGUGGUUGUAAGCCUCAAACAAUGGUAAAAAUUAGGGAGUGUGUGUUGGAGAGGUAAACCUCCCAACCGUGGAAGUUACCAGGUGUUUUCUCAGUGCUUGAAAGCAUGAGAUUAUUUGUAACUCAAAGCCUGUAGGCAAGAGUGGUUAUGUUCUUGAACGAAUUGUGAAGCAUGUUCAAGUUAUCUAAAGCAUUACAUUGGUAAUGUGUAGUGAGGAAUGGAAACUGAGGUUUCUAUCUAUAGUGCCUAGUUAUAGAUUGUAUUGGGUAGGAUUAAAUGAGGAGUUGUAAACGGGGGAGUUUAACUCUGAAUUAAUACUGCUAAAGUGGAUUUCUUCCUGGCUUGUGGAUGCCCCCAGAGUAGGUAAUGUUGUAUCGAACUAGUUAACAAUACUGGUGUUUUACCUUCUGCACACUUAUUUUGUCUGUUAUGAACUCAGUCUGUUUCUAGUCUGUUUAUGAAGAGAAUAACAAACUUGACACAUAGCCUGCAGUCUGAUUGCAAAACAGAAUGUUAUGACAUUCAUUAUUGACUGCUGUUGUAUAAACUGGUUGGUCUGUUACAGUUCAACCUUCUGUAAUGUUUGAAAACAGGUGCAUGUCAAAUCAAAAUGGAGACACAUUUGCUGAUAACUGGGCAGGAUUCAAUAAACAUAAGUGCUUAUAUUUGAUCUCUAUCUGUGUCUUUGCACUAUAUGUGACAAACUGAUGUUCGUCUUUCCAUGGUGGUAUAAGUACAGAUGUCUUGACAUCUGUGACAUAGUGCAUAUGAGUAUGGGUUUAAUUGUUAUAACUGUCUUUUGUAUAGUACAUGUUGAUCAGAUGUCAUGACUUAGUGUAGAACAUAUGAACUCUGAUUAUACAGAAUUUCAAUUGGUAUCAAAGCAGGCAUCCUUCUGUUUCUGGAUGAGAUCCAUGGGUGAUACUUUCUGGUAUCUUGCAAGGAGUUAUGUAGUUACUAAUGCUGGAACCUUUGGAAGGUCUAUUGAUCCCCUGAAUGGUCCCUUGAAGUAGGUGGUUGGACUAUUCAUUGACAGGAACUGUGUAUCUGUCUCUGGAGGUUGGCAAUUGGCCUUGUGAGGAACAGCUGUGCUAGUAUAUGAAACAUAUUCAAACUUGGUAUGUUCUUGUGAGGCUGAUCUGGUGAAGUGGCAUGGUCAUAAGUUGAGUUGUAGUAUGAUUCCGCUGCAUAAUAGCCUGGCAAAACUCAAACUAUGAGUAGUUUCCCCUCAUGUGAUGAAAGGCUGUGUAUUCAAGAUUUCAUCAUAAUCUACUGAAGAUGUCAAAGAUACUUGAGUCUCCUCAAGUCCACUCAUCAUGACGUUCUCGCUUCAGGAUGGUAAGAAUCACCUGAUCACUGAUUCUUUUACUCUCUAUGUAGUGUAAUAUGAAGACCUUGAAGACUUUCAAGGAGGGUUUUGUUCCAAGGAGGUGGAACAAUGUUCCAUGUUGAUGUUAGAACAUGUUGAUCAACAAGUAUGCAGCUACUGGUUGAAGAGGCAAAUGUGUUAGGUGCCAAACAAAGGUACUUUCGUUUGAACCUACUCCUGACCUGGAAGAGGAGACUUUGUGGUGCCUAAAGUUUGACAAGGUAGGGUCAACUGUAUCUAACAUCCAGGGAACUUGUCUUCCAACACAACAUAGUACUUCAGGGAACAACUAUCCAAUCCUGAUCAAUCUAUAGGAAUAAGACAGACAGCAGGAAAUUGCACCGUGUCACAUCUCAACCAGCUUCACUUCUAGAGAUCAGACGUCUAGAAGUGACCUUCUUGAGCACACAUACAGUUGACCCUACCCUUGUCAACUUAGCACACACAAAUGUCUCCUCUUCCAGGUCAGGAGUAGGUUCCAAACGAAAGUAUCCCUUUGUUUGGCACCUAAACACAUUUGCUCUUCAACCAGUAGCUGCAUACUUGUUGAUCAACAUGUUCUAACAUCACAUGGAACAUUAGUUCCACCUCCUUGGAACAAAAACCCUCCUUGAAAGUCUUCAAGGUCUUCAUAUACACUACCUAAGAGAGUAAAAGAAUCAGUGAUCAGGUGAUUCUUACCAUCCUGAAGCGAGAACGUCAUGAUGAGUGGACUUGAGGAGACUCAAGUAUCUUUGACAUCUUCAGUAGAUUAUGAUGAAAUCUUGAAUACAACAGCCUUUCAUCCACAUGAGGGGAAACUACAUCAUAGUUUGAGUUUUGCCAGGUAUUAUGCAGCGGAAAUCAUACUACAACUCAACUUAUGACCAUGCACUUCACCAGAUCAGCCUCCAAGAACAUACCAAGUUUGAAUAUGUUUCAAUACUAGCACAGCUGUUCCUCACAAAGGCCAAUUGCCAACCUCCAGAGACAGAUACACAGUUCCUGUCAUGAAUAGUCCAACCACCUACUUCAAGGGACCAUUCAGGGGAAUCAUAGAACCUUCCAAAGGUUCCAGCAUUAGUACUAACAUAACUCCUUGCAAGAUACCAGAAAGUAUCACCCAUGGAUCUCAUCCAGAAACAGAACAGGAUGCCUGCUUUGAUACCAAUUGAAAUUCUGGUAUAAUCAGAGUUCAUAUGUUCUACACUAAGUCAUGACAUCUGAUCCAACAUUGUUACUAAUACAACAAGACAGUUAUAACAAUUAAAACCCAGUACUCAUAUGCACUAUGUCACAGAUGUCAAGACAUCUGCUACUAUACCACCAUGGAAAGACGAACAUCCAGUUUUGUCCAUCUAGUGCAAAGACACAGUAGAGAUCAAAUAUAGCACUUAUGUUUAUUGAUCCUGCCCAGUUAUCAGCAUGAUGUCUCAACAUUGAUUUGAACAUCACCUGUUUCAACAUUACAGAAGGUUGAACUGUAACAGACCAACCAGUUUAUACAACAGCAGUCAAUAAUGAAUGUCAUAACAUUCUGUUUUGCAAUCAGACUGCAGGCUAUGUGUCAAGUUUGUUAUUCUCUUCAUAAACAGACUAGAAACAGACUGAGUUAUAACAGACAAAAUAAAGUGUGCAGAAGGUAAAAACACCAGUAAUUGUUAACCUAGUUCGAUACAACAUUACCUACUCUGGGGGCAUACCAAGCCAGGAAGAAGAUCCACUAUUAGCAGUAUUAAUUCAGAGUUAAACUCCCCCGUUUACAACUCCUCAUUUAAUCCCUACCCAAUACAAUCUAUAACUAGGCACUCAUAGAUAGAAACCUCCAGUUUCCAUUCCUAUCACUACAAUUACCAUGUAAUGCUUAGAUAACUUGAACAUGCUUCACAACUUCGUUCAAGAACAUAACCACUCUUGCCUACAGGCUUUGAGUUACAAAAUAAUCUUCAUGCUUUCAAGCACUGAGAAAACCUGGUAACCUUCCACGGUUGGGAGGUUUACCUCUCCACACACCCCUAAUUUUUCAUUGUUUGAGGCUUACAACCACAAUCAGUCCAUUCAAUCAUCAAUGAUGACUUGAAUGACCUACAGACACAAACCCUAGCUUUCUCUCUAAAUUUUGCUCAGUCUUUGUUGUGUGUUCAAACAGGUUUUCUGGUCCCUUUUAUAGGAACAUUGGACAGCUUGAAAACCUAAUAUUAUUUUCCAACCAAAUAUUUUCAUAUCAACUGUAAAGAUCUCUUUGGAAAAUAAACAAUCUGGUGAAAUCCCUGAAAGAAUGCGCCAGCUAGCCAUAUCUUCAUCAACCAAUGAUUGCCAUUAAUUGUGCAAUCACAAACACCAGACAUUCAUACUGAAUGUUCUGUGUACAGGAUGUCAUGACAUCGGUCUGACAUCUGGAAAAAUCCUGCAUAAUCCAAUUUCCUUUUAUAGCAGAGUACAACCAUAUCAGUACCAUGACAUUGUGUAUGUCAUCUGAAACAAUCCUGCAUGAACAUGUCUUCCAAUUAAGCUCCAGCGGUACAUCCAUAUCAACGCCCUUAGCAUUGUAAGUGGCAUUCUGAAACAUCCUGUUGCCAUGUUCUUUAACUCCAGCAGGUACAUAGGAUAUCUUAUGUUAAGACAUCACACAUGACAUCUUGUGAACACUCUUUGUUUUACCAAAAUUGCUGCCAACACUUAGAAUCAACAGGUUUGAACCAAAGGAUAAUAUGAUUCGAACUCCAAAAGGGGUGAAAUCUGAACCCAAGAGUAAAUGUGGCGUUGACCAAUAUAUGGACUAGCCAGAAGCGUUUUCCACCAUAUGGUAUACCCAAAAAUAAGGAGAAUUAACUAUUUGGGUACGAGCCCAACAGCUCCUGGUUCAACAGGUGACACAAAAUGGAGCUCAAAGAGGUCAUAUAUUUGGCUCAAAGAUAACAUGUAUAUCACAUGGAGUGAAUGAAGGUAGAGUAUGAAUGCAUCAUGGAGAUGAACGAAAUGAAAAGUAACCAAAGUCACAAAAUUGAAGGAUUUGGUAACAAGUGACUAAAAAGGUGUAAUUUGGAACCAAAGGUAAAGAUAUAUCAGAAUCCAUAUGAGAAAUGAGAUUUGUAACAUAGAGGGAAACUGCUUAUUGGCUAAAAAAAAGAAAUUAAAUGUUUGGGUAUGAGCUAAACAACUAUAGGUACAAAUGCGGAAUGCUGUUAUAUCGUCCUAAAAGGGUAUAUAUGGAAUUCCAAAGAAAUUGUAUUUCGAUAUCAAAGAAACAACAUGUCACUGGGGUGAGCGGUUCAAUGAUUGCAUGUAGGUCAUGGAUCAUGAAAGAUAUGAGUGGUGCCCUAAGGCGGAAUAAAUAAUUAGUAUUAUUCUGGCCAAGGAUUCACAUCCUCGUGCCUACGUAUUCUCAUUGUGCAAUGAGGAAGUCAGAGCAUUUGUAGUUCGUGGAACCACGAAAAUAGAGGAGAAAGAUUGAGGAAGUGAUAAAAAGUAUAACUUGUACCAACAGAAUGGUAACAUGGCAACCCACAAAGGGAAAGUGAACUUUGAAGCAAAGAGUAAACAUGCGUCUUAGCCAAAAAGAAGGAAUUAAAUGUAUGGGUACGAUCCAAAUAACUCUUGGUUCACAAGGUGGACUGCCGUUAUAUCGUCCUAAAAGGGUAUAUCUGGGGCCUAAAAGAAAGGAUUCUUGAGUACAAGGAGCAGUAUAUCACUGGAUGGGGAACAAACAGUUCGAGAUCAAAGAAUAACGAUAUCUUGGAUCCAUGAAGGGAAUCGAAUUUGAACCGAAGAGUAAACAUGCGUCUUAGCCGAAAAAGAAUGAAUUAAAUGCUUGAGUACGAUCCAAACAACUCUUGGUUCACAAGGUGGAAUGCCGUUAUAUCAUCCUAAAAGGGUGUACAUGGAGUUCAAGGAGAAAUAUAUGUGAUCUCAAAAAGAUGGUAUUGAUUGAACGAAUGAAAAGUGAAGGAUUAUGAUUAAUAAAUAAGGUAGCUCACGGAGAAUCUGAAUUCUCCUGCCUACGUAUUCUCAUUGUGCAAUGAGAAAAUUAGAGCUUUCGUAGUUCAACCCACUAGGGCUGACAACAAGAUGAUUGAGGCAGAAGAAAUGAUUGUUUGAUAAUAGAAUACGAAGAAGACUUGGCAGUCAUUGGAUAUGAACCACACUAAAGUCUAUGAGUAAAGGUGAAUACGAUGAGCAACUGGGUCAUGCGUCCCGUACCCAAAGAUAUUCAAAAUGAGUUAAUGGCAAUCUCCAUUCUCAUUCAUUUUUUACUACUUAAGGCUCGUGGCGUAUAACUCUUAUCCUAACUUUCAAGUUGCUAGAGAAGAAUCUUUGUUGCUCCCCGUGAUGACGAAUGCCUUAUCAAUCAUUCAAUUUGUGUUGCAUUAAAGUCUAUGAACAAAGACGGAUACCUUAAGCAACUGGGUCAAGCGUCCUGUACCUAAGGAGACCUUAGACAAGGAUAAGAAUUCUCCACUCUCGUCAUUCUUUGUUGCUUAAGGCUCAUGGUAUGCAACUUGAAUUAUGAUUGAUAGUUCUUGGUAGAGUCUUCUACUUGUUGCGCUGCUUGCUUUAUGAAGGGAGAGACUUGCCAAUCAUAUGAUUUGAAUUGUGCUAAAGUCUUGAAUAGAGGUGAAUAUGAUGAGCAACUAGUCACGCGUCCCGUACCCAAAGAUAUUCAGAAUAAGUUAAUGAAAUUCUCCACUCUCAUUCAUUCUCUAUUGCUUAAGGCUCAUGCCAUACAAUUCUAACAUUGAUUAACAAGCUCUUGAAGAACCACCUUUGAUGUACCUUGUAUGAUCCACUGCUUGAUAUGACUGGGAUGCCUUGAUUGAGAGUGUGACUUGAGGCUUCGAGCUCCAUAACUUAUAGAAAGAGUCUUAUCAAGUGAUCAAGGAUCUUUUGAUCACUUGAAUAGACUGUGGGAUUAUACAAGGUCAAAGGAUUUAGUUGAUCAACAUUGCUUUUGAUCAACUUGAAUCAAGGGUUUGAAUUAGCUUGAAAAUAACUAGUUAACCUAAUCUAUUGGUUAGAAUUGUUCACAAGCUAUUCCUAAGGGGAACAUGCAUUUGUUAGUCAAAUACUUGAUUUAAAACUAUUUGAAAUUCUGAGUCAAAAUUAAUUCUAAGGGAGCAUGUACUUCUAUGGCUAAAACAACAAAAUAAACCCCUAAGGAUAAAACGAUUAUUAUCCACAAAAUGAAUUAACAAUCCUAAUGGUCAAAAUUAACCUAAAAUGUAUUAUGGAAAAAUCUACACUUAACCAUGUUAAUCUAAUCACGAAUUAAAUCAACAAAAAUGAGUUAACCAAAAUCUAAUGGCAAGAUUAAUAAUGGAAUCAAUUCUAAAAAUCAGGAUCAAAAUCAACACGAUUAACAUAAUUUCCUAAUCAGACUAAAUCACACUAGCUAAACCUAAUCAAUCAAAAGAUUAAUCUAACUAACUAAUGAUGAAAACUAUGUUAGUUCCUAAUUAACCAAAAAACAAGAAUUAAUCCUAAUACUUCUAUCAAGAUUAACAAUUAACAUCAUAAUUAAAAAAACUACAAUUAAAAUACAUUAAUUAAGAAUUAAUCUAAAGGUUAAUUGAGAUUAAUGAACAUGAAUUAUGAGUUAAUGGGCCAUGGGGUGUGUUCUUGGUGAGAAUGUGUGAGACGGAGAGCCACUUUGGUCAUGAAGCCCAAAACCAAACCAGCCACACGCGGGCCAAAAUCCACAGAUCUGGGAUGAACACAUCACAAUGCAGGGAUAAACAUUCUUCAACAUGAACCACAAACUCGAACGUGCAUUUCAAAAGGCUGAGGAAUACACAAGAAAAAACGCUUAUGCUCCUCGGCAAUCCAUCCUUCAUCAGCAUCGUGUUCUCUAGAAUUCAAUGGAAUCAUCAAUAUGUUUAUCCCAAUAUUUGAUGUGGCGUUGGCGUCGGCGUCCGUUCAACAUCGCAUUUUCAAUCUUAACCGCAUCCAUGACAACCGCAUAUCCAAGGUUCUUAAUUUCGAAAACAGCUCAUCGAAUCGAAGUUUCGUGAGAUCGACAUCAAACAAAGAAUUCGCAACCCUAACAACACGAAACCGAAACAAAAAUGCAGAUUUGAAGAAAUCAAAGACUCACCGGUUUAGGUAUCUACUUCUUCGUGCACUUCUUAUGCUGUGAAUGAGUUUGUUGCUUUGUGUGCUUGAUGCGUGCGUUGUUGCUUCUGUUUUGAUGCUCUGAGAAUGAUUGUGUUUUCGUUGCAUGGAAGGGAUUGUAAGCUGGACUCGCAGAGUGAUGAAUCUGCAGAUUGAAGCCGAUGAAGCAGUGUGAAGAUGAAGUGAGGAAAUUGCAAAUGGAAGAUCGGCUUUGUAGAGGAUUGGAGAUUUGUGUAGAAGAUUGCAGUUGCAGGGUUAAGUUCAGCUUGCCGGGAAAAAACCUGUCUUCAAUCACAGUGAGUCCCUCCUUUAUAGCUUUUCCCCAUUUCUGUUAUCAAAUUUAUGUCCAAUUAAAACGAAAUUCCAAUUGAUAUUCAGUCAGUUAGAAAUUUAGAAAUUAGUUGGGAUUUGAGGUGAAUUUGAAGUUAAUUUGAAAAAGUGCAUUUGGAGUUAAUUUCACCUAGGUCUACAAUUAAUUUCGCCACUGAGUUAAUAAGCUGUCAUUUUCUGCAGAAUUGAGUUUUAUCUUAGGAGUUAGUUAUUUGUCCGUUGGAUUUGUGAUUUAAUUAUUCAUAUGCCUUAUGUUAAUGAGCUACUGUUAAUAACCUGUAAAAAAUCAAUUUACUGAACUGGUUUUAUGAGUUAGUGAACUGGUUGGUUAUAGUUGGUUCAUUUAGUUUAAAAAUUUGUUCGUGAGAAUUUAUCAAUUAUUUUAGUUGGUGGCACGGCCACAACUAUUAGCCUUGUUGGUGAUGUUAAAAUCCAGUAGUGGUUAUGACGCUUUUAUGUCAAGGAUUUUUGUUCUGCCAUCGAUAUAUUGGCUUGAAAGUAUUACAUCAUGAGCUGGUGUGAUGCAUUGAAUUUUUUGUUGUUAAAUGUUAGUGCAAAUAUGUGCAGCAGCCUAAUAUGAGGCAUGAUUUGUUGAAGGAUAUGAUACAGUCAGUUUUUGUAUAGAUGUACUGACUCUGUUAUGUUUUAAUGGAUUGUUAGUUUGUAGGCAUUAAGGUGCCAAGUGAAUGGUUAGUUUGAGCUAUGAAUGCAUGCUUGUUAGAAUUAAGUUGCACAAGCUGUGAAUCACAUGUGAAUGAAGAUCAUGUAUGUCUGCUUGAUGUAUGUUUGGUUGGGUUUUCAUAUUGAUUUUUGGUUGGCUAUGUGUACACUUACUACAGGAUGAUUGUUCCCUGCAAGAAAUAGUUGUUUAAGGACAAGAUGAUGUCACUUGCAAAACGAUGCAUUUAGGAGCAUGAGCUGCUAGUUUUGAUUGUAUUUAGUGCUUGCCAUUGUACUUGGUGGAUGUUUUAAAUUGUCUGCUCCUUUUGAUUCAUUGCAGGGUUAUAGACUUAUGGUAUUGGACAUUGUUUCAAGGCAAUUCUAAGGCAUGACAAAGUGUUCAAAUCAAGGCAAAGUCCAAGGCAUGGUCCAUACUAAAUUGGAUGAAAAAAAUAAGAUUUCUUAUUUAUGGAGCAAAUGACCAUGGAUCCUUAUGCAAGAGUGAACAUGUAAUGAGUACUAGGAUUUAGGUCCUGAAAAGUAGGUUAGUUGACUUUGGUCAACUAAUUGACCCAAAAGUCAACUGUAGGUCAAAAAUCUUCUUCUUCUAUAAUUUGUAUGCCU
This 14640-nucleotide long non-coding RNA is filed under the name Lathyrus oleraceus (garden pea). RNAcentral describes it as "Pisum sativum (pea) long non-coding RNA (PSAT_LNC002013)". The record is from RNAcentral. Lineage: Eukaryota; Viridiplantae; Streptophyta; Magnoliopsida; Fabales; Fabaceae.